Molecule: ribosomal RNA, 346 nt
Filed under: uncultured fungus
Lineage: Eukaryota; Fungi
Description: SSU rRNA
Rfam family: Eukaryotic small subunit ribosomal RNA
Source: RNAcentral
GUAGUCAUAUGCUUGUCUCAAAGAUUAAGCCAUGCAUGUCUAAGUAUAAGCAAUCUAUACAGUGAAACUGCGAAUGGCUCAUUAAAUCAGUUAUCGUUUAUUUGAUAGUACCUUACUACAUGGAUAACCGUGGUAAUUCUAGAGCUAAUACAUGCUAAAAAUCCCGACCUCUGGAAGGGAUGUAUUUAUUAGAUAAAAAACCAAUGGCUUCGGCCUCCUUGGUGAUUCAUGAUAACUUUACGAAUCGCAUGGCCUUGUGCCGGCGAUGGUUCAUUCAAAUUUCUACCCUAUCAACUUUCGAUGGUAGGAUAGUGGCCUACCAUGGUUUCAACGGGUAACGGGGAAU